Patella vulgata (common limpet) is the source of this 1764-nucleotide long non-coding RNA. RefSeq lists it as uncharacterized. The record is from RefSeq and is a predicted model, not a curated record. The transcript is spliced from 3 exons. Lineage: Eukaryota; Metazoa; Mollusca; Gastropoda; Patellidae.
AAGAUUUGUCACUGCUAUCAGUUUGAUAUUGCCGUAUUCCCAGUCAAUUGCACCAAAUACUGCUAUAUCAUGGGUGUUAAGGAAGAUUUUAUAGGGUCAAGUUUGUUCAGUAAAUUUGCCAUUUUUGUACUUCUGGCUGCUAACUUAUUUAACUGGAUAGCAUUCUGUACAGCAGAAUGGGGUAUAGAAUAUAAUUCUGGAGACUCAUCCCGCAAAAUAACGAAAGUCAGGGGCUUAUGGAGACUUUGUGGAACUGGUCUAUGCGCAUCAGUUGAUGGACCGGGAUUGGCUAGAGACGAAGAAGAAGCUGUUAUUACGAAUUAUCAUGGAGUUGUUCAAGCAUUUGCUAUAUUUGGAUUCGUGGGAAUCAAUGUUGCCUUUCUCUUGGUUAUUCUGAUGAUGUUUACGUCUAAAUGUAAGAGAAAUAGUGAUGCUGGAAUGGCGACUGUCAUCAUUUGCUUUUUUGCUGCUGUGUCUUACCUAAUAUCUGUCAUCGUCUUUGCUGCCUGCUUUAACUAUACGACUGUUGAUGGAGUUAGAGUUGACGACCCCUUAAAGAGUACUGGAUACUCACUUUAUCUGGCUGUCAUCGCUUUUGUACUGGCAUUUGUUAGCGGGGCCCUUCUUAUAGUUGAUAUAAAGAAAGGGGGUGCAACAUCACCAGCUUAAAACAUUUCUUGAUUUUUUCUCAUUUAAAGAUGCAUUAUGUAAGAUUCAGAUGAGGAGCUGAGCAAUGCAUCCCAUUCGUUUAUGAAUAAAAUAUUGUUUAAAUCAAACCAAACCUUAGGGCUGUUUUGAGAAGAACGGAGUCUCGAUUGUCAUUGCUAAAGUUGUCACGAUAGUAAACAAGGUCUCGAUUAUCCACUUUUUAAUUAAAUCAUUAAUCCGUUGAAAAUCUCAAUCAUCCGAUGGCAUCCAAAUUAAUAAAUGUCUAAUUAAUAAUCUAUAUAACAUUUGUAGCCAAAAUAAACACCUGCAAUAGGGAGAUUUAGUUCUUGCUAGAGCUAGAAUUGCCUAUUGCUUUUCCUGGCUUCAGAUUAUUAAUUAGACAUUUAUUAACUUGCCAAGACCAUAAGCCAACUGUCUAGCUCAUCGGAUGACUUAGAUAUUGAAUGGAUUAGACGACACCUGUCAUAUUAUGUGCAUUAAAAUGCAUAACGCAACUCACGGAGAAUGCAGAUUAAAGACGUUCUACACACAUUUCUAUUCUUGAAUAUUAAAAUUCUUAUUUGAGUUAGAAGGAAUACAAAUUUAAUACAAAUUUGGGUUAAAAGUACUACAAAUUUAAGUAGCUAUUCUUAAGUUCGCCCAGAAUAAAGUAAUUUAACUAAACUACUAUAGCAAGAACGAUUAGCUCUUUCUCUAAAUCUCGCAUAAUUCCUUUUAAAACUAAUGCUAGGUUCCCACUGUCGUGUGAUGCUUUACGAUAGGAUUCUCCCUGGUAGGAUUACCACGAUUACUCCACGAUUAAUACCACGAUUUCAAUCGUUGCGCGAAUCGUGAUCGCGGGAACCUAGCAUAAGUAUAUAUAAACUACUGUAUAAAUGUUACCAAACCUCAGUUCAUGGCUCAUAAUCGUCUUGUUAUUGGCAUGGGAUUUUUGCGUCUAACAACUAGUUAGUAAUGCGAAAGCUGUACGAAAUUUACUUAAUUUUCAUAAGAUUGAUUUGAAACCACAAUACUAACAUAUAACCACGUAUGUUUAAUUAUUUUUUAUUAUUAAAAAUUAUUAUGAAUUAACUACGAUUAAAUACUGCAGUUGGA